GGUACAGUGCGGCGCGCCCGGGCCGCCUGCGGGCGCGGGCGCUGCGCUGAGCGCCGCGGCCCCGCAUAAGGACGAAUGGUUCGUCUAGGUGAGUGACGUCACCAUCAUCAUCAUCAGACUGGGCGCGCCCGGGCCGCCUGCGGGCGCGGGCGCUGCGCUGAGCGCCGCGGCCCCGCAUAAGGACGAAUGGUUCGUCUAGGCGGCCCGGUCGGGCCCGCAGGGCGGGGGCGCCGUACCGGCCCCCACGCCGCCGGCGGGCGGUUCUAUCCGGUUAUCAUGUAUGUACUACCUGAUUUAGCGAAGGUUUUUUUAGGGAAUUUUUACUCGUCUAGUGGAGGCGCGCGCGCCGCACGCUCGUGGGUGUCCAGUUUUUGGUGUUAACGAUAAACGCAAUGUAAAUUUAAAGUAUGACAUUAAACAUUUUUGGCUUA
Molecule: long non-coding RNA, 431 nt
Organism: Ostrinia nubilalis (European corn borer)
Lineage: Eukaryota; Metazoa; Arthropoda; Insecta; Lepidoptera; Crambidae
Exons: 2
Source: RefSeq, a predicted model, not a curated record